GUCGACUUAACUGUGAGCGAUUUAACUAAUAAAAACUUCGUUUCGAACGAAACUAUUUUGAAGGAAAAAAAAGGAUGGCCGGAGAGCCCUCUGACCACACUGUCGUGGUCAAAUGGAGUGGUGAAGAGUAUAAACUUAUCAUAGAGAAAGAUGGCACCGUUACAGAUUUGAAGAAAGCAAUCCAAGAUGCAACCGGCGUACUUCCAGAAAGACAGAAAUUACUCGGGCUAAAAUUCAAAGGAAAGCCCCCAGGGGAUGAUGUAGCCCUAACAAAUCUGAAAUUAAAGCCGUCCACCAAAAUAAUGAUGAUGGGAACCAGAGAGGAGGAACUGGAUAAAGUUAAAGAGGUUCCGAAAGACCUUCCAGAGGUGGUGAAUGAUUUUGAUAUCGAAGAGGAGGAGAUAGCAAUAGAGAAUAGGGAAGAAUAUCUCUCCAAAAUUGACCGCCGCAUCAAAGAGUAUGAAAUCACUGUUUUGAAUGAACCCAGGGAAGGGAAAAAGCUGUUGGUACUAGACAUUGAUUACACCUUGUUUGACCACAGAUCGGUUGCUGAAACAGCCAAUGAGCUGAUGAGGCCAUUCCUACACGAGUUUCUUCAGUCAGCAUACGAAAACUACGACAUAGUGAUAUGGUCUGCCACAGGGAUGAAGUGGAUUGAGGUCAAGAUGAGGGAACUCGGGGUCACCUCCAACACAAACUACAAGAUCUGCUUCAUGUUGGACCAUCUAGCCAUGAUUAGUAUCCACACUCCUAAAUAUGGAGUCAUUGAGGUGAAGCCACUAGGUGUUAUAUGGGGCAAAUAUGAACAAUGGAGUUCCAAAAAUACCAUUAUGUUUGAUGACAUCAGAAGAAACUUUAUUAUGAAUCCACAAACAGGACUAAGGAAAUUUGAAAGGGUCACUUGGAUUAGCCAAGCACCAAUUGACACCCUGGACAGCACAGAUACGAGCAUUCAGGGAGGCACAUUUCAACAGAGAAAAAGACAAAGAAUUAUUAAAGCUUUCAAAAUAUUUAAAGGAUAUUGCAGCACUAGAUGACUUCACAAACCUUAACCAUCGCCACUGGGAAAGAUAAAUGGCGGUUAACACUGGCAUGCCAUGACGUCAUGACAAACGAGCCUGACGUCAAUAAAAAGCAAACAUCAGCUAUCGCUCUAGUUGGAUCACGCACUUGUAACCGAUUUCCGGUUACGGAAAUAGCCGAGUAGUUAUGAUUGCUGUUGUUCAUCAAUUUUGGUUUUCGGCUUGUUCUUUCACAUACCCUUGAGGAUUAGUUACAGAACAGCUAUUUCAGCCUAUUAAAGCUGUAUGGUCCGAAUUACAAUAUUUUUUCCCAUCUCGUAAAAACGCUAUUAAAUCAUCGCACGUAUAUAGUUAUGAGGCUGUAUGACAUAUCAUACAUUAUUUCACAUGUUUUAACCCAAAUUAUUGGAUUUUAAAUCGAUGUUUACAUAUAACCGCGUCACUCUGCCAUUUCAAGUGACAGUCACGUGACCAGUUCAACGGUGGCCUUAUCUGUGUAAAGCUGUGUAUUUUGUUACAACAGUACCGUACCAUAAGUUUAAUAGAAAUAAAAAUAUAAAAUACC
This is an RNA transcript of Ostrea edulis (European flat oyster), 1587 nucleotides long. It is a transcript of the gene named ubiquitin-like domain-containing CTD phosphatase 1, with no coding region annotated. NCBI's taxonomy places the organism in Eukaryota, Metazoa, Mollusca, Bivalvia, Ostreida, Ostreidae. The transcript has 11 exons. The record is from RefSeq and is a predicted model, not a curated record.